This 103-nucleotide transfer RNA is filed under the name Venturia inaequalis. RNAcentral's name for it is "tRNA-Asn". The record is from RNAcentral. Lineage: Eukaryota; Fungi; Ascomycota; Dothideomycetes; Venturiales; Venturiaceae.
UCCUCCGUGGCGCAAUUGGCUAGCGCGUUCGACUGUUAUUUAAUGGAACGAGUAGUUGCUCAGUAUAAUCGAGAGGUUGGUGGUUCAAGCCCACCCGGAGGAG